UAAAAUGGUUAAAAUAACAAAAUUUUCAUUGUAAAUGAAACAUCAAUUGAUUUCAUUUU
This 59-nucleotide transfer RNA is filed under the name Ixodes gibbosus. Its description in RNAcentral is "tRNA-Val". The record is from RNAcentral. Lineage: Eukaryota; Metazoa; Arthropoda; Arachnida; Ixodida; Ixodidae.